UACGUAGGUGGCGAGCGUUGUCCGGAUUUACUGGGUGUAAAGGGCGUGCAGCCGGAGAGACAAGUCAGAUGUGAAAUCCACGGGCUCAACUCGUGAACUGCAUUUGAAACUGUUUCCCUUGAGUGUCGGAGAGGUAAUCGGAAUUCCUUGUGUAGCGGUGAAAUGCGUAGAUAUAAGGAAGAACACCAGUGGCGAAGGCGGAUUACUGGACGAUAACUGACGGUGAGGCGCGAAAGCGUGGGGAGCAAACAGG
RNAcentral lists this ribosomal RNA (253 nucleotides) under uncultured bacterium. RNAcentral describes it as "partial 16S ribosomal RNA". It matches the Rfam family "Bacterial small subunit ribosomal RNA", at positions 524 to 776 of the family's 1533-position model. The record is from RNAcentral.